AUUUUAUUAUGUAAAGUUGUAUUUAUUUUAUUAUGUAAAGUUGUAAUUGUUUUUCCUGCUGCUUGUUUGUUUUUUGUUUGCUUGUUUUUUUGUGCUGACGACAUAUCGUUUUAUUAGACUCUAUCCCCAUGACUUCUUUAUUUUGUGCUGUUUUAUGCAACAGGCACAAAUCACAUGGCCUGGACAUUUUCAGAGAGCAAGAAAAAUUGAACGUUCUUUUUACAGUGCUUUCGUGCAUCAAUUGCUAUUAAAGUGUUGUCUCUCCUUAAUAUUCUUUUUGUUUUUAUGUGUGUGUGGGACGGAGUCUCGCUCUGUCGCUCAGGGUGGAGUGCAGCGCCGCGAUCUCGGCUCACUGCAAACUCCACCUCCCGGGUUCAUGCCGUUCUCCUGCCUCAGCCUCCGCAGGAUCUGGGACUACAGUUGCCGGCCACCACAAAUGUAUAUCAAAUUCUGAAGGUUGUGUAGUGGUAUCACACAGUGGUUUCAAUUUGCAUAUCCCUGAUGGCUGAUCAGACUGGGACAACACAGAGCUGCAAAACAAAUGCUUUCAAUAAGCUUUAUUAUCAUGAAGCAAAGACUUGAACAAAAGUCGAUUGUGAAAUCUACAGCUUGCUUAAAAAGAGCAGCCAGAAAUAGGAGCAAAGUGAUGUUCAUUUCUGGAUGUCUUGUGCAAAAACACUUUAUGUUACCCCAAACUGUGCAGCAUGUACUUAUUGCUAUUGUGUUUGUUGUCAGAGAUUUGGUCUACUGGGUUUCUUAAAAUUGAAAAGAGGAUUAGGCCAUGUUUACAAUUGUACCUAAAAAUAUAAUGGUUGAAAAGAUUUUUUGUCUCUUGGGGACAAAUAAAAAACAAAAAUUAUUAGAAU
This 866-nucleotide long non-coding RNA is filed under the name Homo sapiens (human). RNAcentral describes it as "HSALNT0288409". Lineage: Eukaryota; Metazoa; Chordata; Mammalia; Primates; Hominidae. The record is from RNAcentral.